AAAAGAAACCAACAGGGAUUGCCCUAGUAACGGCGAGUGAAGCGGCAACAGCUCAAAUUUGAAAGCUGGCUCCGGCCCGCAUUGUAAUUUGCAGAGGAUGCUUCUGGUGAGGUGCCUUCCGAGUUCCCUGGAACGGGACGCCAUAGAGGGUGAGAGCCCCGUAUGGAUGGACACCAAACCUGUGUGAAGCUCCUUCAACGAGUCGAGUAGUUUGGGAAUGCUGCUCUAAAUGGGAGGUAAAUCUCUUCUAAAGCUAAAUACCGGCCAGAGACCGAUAGCGCACAAGUAGAGUGAUCGAAAGAUGAAAAGCACCUUGAAAAGGGGGUUAAACAGUACGUGAAAUUGUUGAAAGGGAAGCGCUUGUGACCAGACUUGCGCCGGGCAGCUCAUCAGGGGUUCUCCCCUGUGCACUCUGCCCGGCUCAGGCCAGCAUCGGUUCUCGUGGGAGGAUAAGAACGGUAGGAACGUGGCCCCCCUCCGGGGGGGUGUUAUAGCCUACCGUACGAUACUCCCGUGGGGACCGAGGUUCGCGCUCCGCAAGGAUGCUGGCGUAAUGGUCAUCAGCGACCC
RNAcentral lists this ribosomal RNA (570 nucleotides) under Cytospora sp. XF-2013c. Its description in RNAcentral is "eukaryotic LSU rRNA". It matches the Rfam family "Eukaryotic large subunit ribosomal RNA", at positions 57 to 650 of the family's 3401-position model. The record is from RNAcentral. Lineage: Eukaryota; Fungi; Ascomycota; Sordariomycetes; Diaporthales; Cytosporaceae.